GGGAGAACAUCACCAAGAUGAUAUGCAGGGUUCAAACAGUGAAAGGGAAAGGAGAGUUCCUGAUCCAUCACCAACCAUCUCCAGUCCAGCUGCUGCUCAUGGGAUGGAAACUGUUGCUGCAUAGUAGAAGAAGUUACACAGAAAUAACAACAACUAAUGACAUUAACACACAUUUUGUUGUAAGAUGUAUCCAAGUCCAGGUGUGAGGUUCCAGUGCAGCCAAUGCCAGACAGUUUCCCUCCAGGGAGGAGCCAGAAGAAGCUUCUGCAGCGACUGAGUGAAAGUAGCAGUUCCUCCUGAAGGUCAGAGAUCGCAGCAUCUGAGGGCCUCUUCAAAAGAAGACGUAGUUGAUGAAGGCGUUCUGGAGCAGGACCAGAAAGACCACGACCAAGCAGCCUUGAGAUCUUAGGCAGCGUCUCCCUCAGGUCCCUCUCUAUCUCCCCACACAUCCACCAACCACUGGAACACAUCUCCAAAGUUCUGCUGGACCAGCUCAGCUUCCCCUCAGAAGAAGUGCUGCCACCUGCCAGAUGAAGGAGCCUUUUGAGAGGCAGCUGGCAUCGUGAUUGGACUGUACUUUGGUCUGUUCCAAUCCAGCUUCAGCUCCAGAGACGGCAGGCGGGG
Molecule: long non-coding RNA, 624 nt
Organism: Amphiprion ocellaris (clown anemonefish)
Lineage: Eukaryota; Metazoa; Chordata; Actinopteri; Pomacentridae
Source: Ensembl